This 460-nucleotide ribosomal RNA is filed under the name uncultured bacterium. RNAcentral's name for it is "partial 16S ribosomal RNA". It matches the Rfam family "Bacterial small subunit ribosomal RNA", at positions 338 to 795 of the family's 1533-position model. The record is from RNAcentral.
CCUACGGGAGGCAGCAGUGAGGAAUAUUGGUCAAUGGACGAGAGUCUGAACCAGCCAAGUAGCGUGAAGGAUGACUGCCCUAUGGGUUGUAAACUUCUUUUAUAAAGGAAUAAAACGAGGCACGUGUGCCUUUUUGCAUGUACUUUAUGAAUAAGGAUCGGCUAACUCCGUGCCAGCCGCCGCGGUAAUACGGAGGAUCCGAGCGUUAUCCGGAUUUAUUGGGUUUAAAGGGGGCGUAGAUGGGUUGUUAAGUCAGUUGUGAAAGUUUGCGGCUCAAACGUAAAAUUGCAAUUGAUACUGGCAGUCUUGAGUACAGUUGAGGUAGGCGGAAUUCGUGGUGUAGCGGUGAAAUGCUUAGAUAUCACGAAGAACCCCGAUUGCGAAGGCAGCUUACUGAACUGUGACUGACAUUGAGGCUCGAAAGUGUGGGUAUCAAACAGGAUUAGAUACCCCUGUAGUC